UAAGGCUUAGGUUAAAAAAACCAACUACCUUCAAAGUAAUUAAUAGGCAAAGCGCGCCUAGCCUUAU
Molecule: transfer RNA, 67 nt
Filed under: Ophioleila elegans
Lineage: Eukaryota; Metazoa; Echinodermata; Ophiuroidea; Amphilepidida; Hemieuryalidae
Description: tRNA-Trp
Source: RNAcentral